This is a long non-coding RNA of Balaenoptera musculus (blue whale), 432 nucleotides long. RefSeq lists it as uncharacterized. The transcript has 3 exons. The record is from RefSeq and is a predicted model, not a curated record. Lineage: Eukaryota; Metazoa; Chordata; Mammalia; Artiodactyla; Balaenopteridae.
CAGGUGUGAAGGUGGCAGGCAGUGGCUACCCCACGAAACCUCACAUCUCUCCUGCAUCUGGUACCCAGAGCCAAACUCCAUGGACCUGCAGCCAAGCCGAGCUUAUCAGAACACCCACCCACCCCCCUGCCCCCCCGGUCCUUCAUGCUCAAUGUGAUGUCCUGCUAACCUACUCUCCACCCUUCUUGCCCGGAUGCCAUUCACUUGCUCUCAGCAUAGACACACUCUGCUGAGCCCCUGCUACACUUCAGGCAUGCAGCCUGGCCAAGAUGGACAAAUGAUCAAGGACACGAUAACGAGCACCCCCAAACACCAUCAGAGAGAUCUCAGCGUCCAGGAGCUGCCCUGCUCUUACAACGGGUGAUACAGCCUGAGAAAUAGGAAUUCCAAAGGCACAUCUGCUCUUCCUCACUUGCAGAUCUUGAAAGCAGG